Molecule: transfer RNA, 56 nt
Filed under: Cricetulus griseus (Chinese hamster)
Lineage: Eukaryota; Metazoa; Chordata; Mammalia; Rodentia; Cricetidae
Rfam family: tRNA
About the family: Transfer RNA (tRNA) molecules are approximately 80 nucleotides in length.
Source: Rfam by way of RNAcentral
GGUCCCAUGGUGUAGUGGUUAACACUCUGGACUUUGAAUUCAGAGACCUGAGUUCA